Molecule: ribosomal RNA, 237 nt
Filed under: uncultured bacterium
Lineage: Bacteria
Description: partial 16S ribosomal RNA
Rfam family: Bacterial small subunit ribosomal RNA
Source: RNAcentral
CGGACGGGUGAGUAACGCGUGAGGAACCUGUCUCAAAGAGGGGGACAACAGUUGGAAACGACUGCUAAUACCGCAUAAGCCCACGGCUCGGCAUCGAGCAGAGGGAAAAGGAGUGAUCCGCUUUGAGAUGGCCUCGCGUCCGAUUAGCUAGUUGGUGAGGUAACGGCCCACCAAGGCGACGAUCGGUAGCCGGACUGAGAGGUUGAACGGCCACAUUGGGACUGAGACACGGCCCAG